GACGAACGCUGGCGGCGUGCUUAACACAUGCAAGUCGAACGAUGAACCGGUUUCGGCCGGGGAUUAGUGGCGAACGGGUGAGUAACACGUGGGCAAUCUGCCCUGCACUCUGGGAUAAGCCCGGGAAACUGGGUCUAAUACCGGAUACGACACUCCGAGGCAUCUUGGGGUGUGGAAAGUUCCGGCGGUGCAGGAUGAGCCCGCGGCCUAUCAGCUUGUUGGUGGGGUAAUGGCCUACCAAGGCGACGACGGGUAGCCGGCCUGAGAGGGUGACCGGCCACGCUGGGACUGAGACACGGCCCAGACUCCUACGGGAGGCAGCAGUGGGGAAUAUUGCACAAUGGGCGAAAGCCUGAUGCAGCGACGCCGCGUGAGGGAUGACGGCCUUCGGGUUGUAAACCUCUUUCAGCAGGGAAGAAGCGAAAGUGACGGUACCUGCAGAAGAAGCACCGGCUAACUACGUG
RNAcentral lists this ribosomal RNA (464 nucleotides) under uncultured bacterium. RNAcentral describes it as "partial 16S ribosomal RNA". It matches the Rfam family "Bacterial small subunit ribosomal RNA", at positions 28 to 507 of the family's 1533-position model. The record is from RNAcentral.